UUGAACGCUGGCGGCAGGCCUAACACAUGCAAGUCGAACGGUAACAGGAAGCAGCUUGCUGCUUUGCUGACGAGUGGCGGACGGGUGAGUAAUGUCUGGGAAACUGCCUGAUGGAGGGGGAUAACUACUGGAAACGGUAGCUAAUACCGCAUAAUGUCGCAAGACCAAAGAGGGGGACCUUCGGGCCUCUUGCCAUCGGAUGUGCCCAGAUGGGAUUAGCUAGUAGGUGGGGUAAAGGCUCACCUAGGCGACGAUCCCUAGCUGGUCUGAGAGGAUGACCAGCCACACUGGAACUGAGACACGGUCCAGACUCCUACGGGAGGCAGCAGUGGGGAAUAUUGCACAAUGGGCGCAAGCCUGAUGCAGCCAUGCCGCGUGUAUGAAGAAGGCCUUCGGGUUGUAAAGUACUUUCAGCGGGGAGGAAGGGAGUAAAGUUAAUACCUUUGCUCAUUGACGUUACCCGCAGAAGAAGCACCGGCUAACUCCGUG
Molecule: ribosomal RNA, 489 nt
Filed under: uncultured bacterium
Lineage: Bacteria
Description: partial 16S ribosomal RNA
Rfam family: Bacterial small subunit ribosomal RNA
Source: RNAcentral